Long non-coding RNA from Neofelis nebulosa (Clouded leopard), 567 nucleotides. RefSeq lists it as uncharacterized. The record is from RefSeq and is a predicted model, not a curated record. NCBI's taxonomy places the organism in Eukaryota, Metazoa, Chordata, Mammalia, Carnivora, Felidae. The transcript is spliced from 3 exons.
UAUCAGGGGCCAGGCAUGUUCUAAGUACUCUACAGAUAUUCCUUCACUUAUUUAAGAAACAACACUAGACUAGAAGCCAAAAAGACCAGGAUUCUACUCCAAAUCCUGGUACUGAUUAACUGCAAAACUUGGAGGAAGUCACUUCUACCAAUCUCAGUUUCCACAGAUAUACAUUGAAGAGCUACUAGCCAACAUGUUGCAUAAUCCUGUCUAUCUGAAGAGAACCGAUAAGGAUUACAACCUUUAGCUGGAAAACACCAUGACUAUGUUCCAACCUUUAGUACUAAAGAAUCUGCACAGCACAACAGCCUAGGAAAUUUAGCUAUUGGACAGCUUGAUUGCUCCCUCACACCCCGCUUAAUAGAGCUUCUCAUUAAGUCACAAAAAUGAGAUCAUUCAGCAAAAGUCCUUCAGUAUGGCCCGUCCACUCAUGCUAAAGUGGUGUUGAAACAGAAGUCCGUGGGUUUGAGAGCGAAUAAAAGAUCUCAGCAGGGCAUGGAAGGAUGUAGUCCUUGUAGGGUAAGUAGAUCUGGGGUAGCAUCAAAACAGGAGAGCAGUAGAAACACC